RNAcentral lists this ribosomal RNA (401 nucleotides) under uncultured bacterium. Its description in RNAcentral is "bacterial SSU rRNA". It matches the Rfam family "Bacterial small subunit ribosomal RNA", at positions 356 to 774 of the family's 1533-position model. The record is from RNAcentral.
CGGGAAUUUUGGGCAAUGGGCGAAAGCCUGACCCAGCAACGCCGCGUGAGGGAUGAAGUAUUUAGGUAUGUAAACCUCGAAAGGAUGGGAAGAAUAACUGACGGUACCAUUUAUAAGCUCCGGCUCACUACGUGCCAGCAGCCGCGGUAAUACGUAGGGAGCAAGCGUUGUUCGGAUUUACUGGGCGUAAAGGGCGCGUAGGCGGCGCGGUAAGUCACUUGUGAAAUCUCUGAGCUUAACUCAGAACGGCCAAGUGAUACUGCUGUGCUAGAGUGCGGAAGAGGCAACCGGAAUUCUUGGUGUAGCGGUGAAAUGCGUAGAUAUCAAGAGGAACACCUGAGGCGAAGGCGGGUUGCUGGGCCGACACUGACGCUGAUGCGCGAAAGCCAGGGGAGCAAACG